AUUGAACGCUGGCGGCAGGCCUAACACAUGCAAGUCGAACGGUAACAGGAAGAAGCUUGCUUCUUUGCUGACGAGUGGCGGACGGGUGAGUAAUGUCUGGGAAACUGCCUGAUGGAGGGGGAUAACUACUGGAAACGGUAGCUAAUACCGCAUAACGUCGCAAGACCAAAGAGGGGGACCUUCGGGCCUCUUGCCAUCGGGUGUGCCCAGAUGGGAUUAGCUAGUAGGUGGGGUAACGGCUCACCUAGGCGACGAUCCCUAGCUGGUCUGAGAGGAUGACCAGCCACACUGGAACUGAGACACGGUCCAGACUCCUACGGGAGGCAGCAGUGGGGAAUAUUGCACAAUGGGCGCAAGCCUGAUGCAGCCAUGCCGCGUGUAUGAAGAAGGCCUUCGGGUUGUAAAGUACUUUCAGCGGGGAGGAAGGGAGUAAGGUUAAUACCUUUGCUCAUUGACGUUACCCGCAGAAGAAGCACCGGCUAACUCCGUG
This 490-nucleotide ribosomal RNA is filed under the name uncultured bacterium. RNAcentral's name for it is "partial 16S ribosomal RNA". It matches the Rfam family "Bacterial small subunit ribosomal RNA", at positions 30 to 507 of the family's 1533-position model. The record is from RNAcentral.